RNAcentral lists this ribosomal RNA (568 nucleotides) under uncultured bacterium. RNAcentral's name for it is "partial 16S ribosomal RNA". It matches the Rfam family "Bacterial small subunit ribosomal RNA", at positions 355 to 914 of the family's 1533-position model. The record is from RNAcentral.
UGGGGAAUAUUGCACAAUGGGCGCAAGCCUGAUGCAGCCAUGCCGCGUGUGUGAAGAAGGCCUUCGGGUUGUAAAGCACUUUCAGCGAGGGGAAGGUGGUGAGCUUAAUACGCUCAUCAAUUGACGUUACUCGCAGAAGAAGCACCGGCUAACUCCGUGCCAGCAGCCGCGGUAAUACGGAGGGUGCAAGCGUUAAUCGGAAUUACUGGGCGUAAAGCGCACGCAGGCGGUUUGUUAAGUCAGAUGUGAAAUCCCCGGGCUCAACCUGGGAACUGCAUUUGAAACUGGCAAGCUAGAGUCUCGUAGAGGGGGGUAGAAUUCCAGGUGUAGCGGUGAAAUGCGUAGAGAUCUGGAGGAAUACCGGUGGCGAAGGCGGCCCCCUGGACGAAGACUGACGCUCAGGUGCGAAAGCGUGGGGCAGCAAACAGGAUUAGAUACCCUGGUAGUCCAGCGCUGUAAACGAUGUCGAUUUGGAGGUUGUGCCCUUGAGGCGUGGCUUCCGGAGCUAACGCGUUAAAUCGACCGCCUGGGGAGUACGGCCGCAAGGUUAAAACUCAAAGGAAUUGAC